UUCCUCAGGCACUCUAUGGAGUUCACUGAGGGUCUAAUGACUUCUGGCCCUUCAGUGAUUCAGCCUACCUGUUAGGUCAGGAACUGCACACGAAUUUGCCUGAAAUUUGCAGUUGGAAGUUUUCAGCCUAUCUGAGAAGGUCACAGGAAGAGAAGACAGCAACCAGCCACCACUUCAGGAAUCUCCCUUUUGUCACAUCAUGCCCCUGUCUUUUGAACAUUACACUAUUUCACCAGUGAUGUUGCUCCCACACAACUAUUUUUCAUAGAAAGCAUACUCAUCAUCAUAA
Long non-coding RNA from Passer domesticus (house sparrow), 289 nucleotides. RefSeq lists it as uncharacterized. The record is from RefSeq and is a predicted model, not a curated record. NCBI's taxonomy places the organism in Eukaryota, Metazoa, Chordata, Aves, Passeriformes, Passeridae. The transcript has 2 exons.